Molecule: ribosomal RNA, 254 nt
Filed under: uncultured bacterium
Lineage: Bacteria
Description: partial 16S ribosomal RNA
Rfam family: Bacterial small subunit ribosomal RNA
Source: RNAcentral
GACGAACCGUGCGAACGUUGUUCGGAUUCACUGGGCUUAAAGGGCGCGUAGGCGGACGGUCAAGUCGGGGGGUGAAAUCUUUCAGCUUAACUGGAAACGUGCCUUCGAUACUGACCGUCUCGAGGGAGGUAGGGGCAUGUGGAACUUCCGGUGGAGCGGUGAAAUGCGUAGAUAUUGGGAGGAACACCAGUGGCGAAGGCGGCUCACUGGACCGGUACUGACGCUGAGGCGCGAAAGCGUGGGGAGCAAACGGG